GGGUAACCUGCCCUAUGCUGGAUAAUAACCUCGGGAAACUGAGAAUAAUGAUCCAUAGUUCACUACGCCUGGAACGGUGAGUGGAUGAAAGCUCCGGCGGCAUAGGAUGGGCCUGCGGCGUAUCAGGUUGUAGGGGGUGUAACGUACCCUCUAGCCCUCUACGCGUACGGGUGUUGGGAGACAUAGCCCGGAGAUGGAUUCUGAGACACGAAUCCAGACCCUACGGGGUGCAGCAGGCGCGAAAACUUGGCAAUGCGAGAAAUCGUGACCAGGGAACUCCAAGUGCAUCGGGUAAGACCGGUGCUUUUCUUGACUCUAAAUAGGUCUUGGAAUAAGGGGUGGGUAAGGACGGUGCCAGCCGUCGCGGUAAUACCGGCGCCUCAAGUGGUAGUCGCUUUUAUUGGGCCUAAAACGUCCGUAGCCGGUCUGAUACAUUCGUGGGUAAAUCAACCAGCUCAACUGGUUGAAUUCUGCGAGGACGGUCAGACUUGGGACCGGGAGAGGUGUGGGGUACGCUCAGGGUAGGGGUAAAAUCCUGUCAUCCUGAGCGGACCACCUGUUGCGAAGGCGCCACACUAGAACGGAUCCGACGGUCAGGGACGAAGCCUAGGGGCACGAACCGGAUUAGAUACCCGGGUAGUCCUAGGUGUAAACGCUGUGGACUUGAUGUUGGGGGUGCUCCGAGCACUCUCAGUGUCGAAGCGAAGGUGAUAAGUCCACUGCCUGGGAAGUACGGUCGCAAGGCUGAAACUU
RNAcentral lists this ribosomal RNA (753 nucleotides) under uncultured Candidatus Poseidoniales archaeon. RNAcentral's name for it is "bacterial SSU rRNA". It matches the Rfam family "Archaeal small subunit ribosomal RNA", at positions 102 to 857 of the family's 1478-position model. The record is from RNAcentral. Lineage: Archaea; Methanobacteriati; Thermoplasmatota; Candidatus Poseidoniia; Candidatus Poseidoniales.